This 493-nucleotide ribosomal RNA is filed under the name uncultured bacterium. RNAcentral describes it as "partial 16S ribosomal RNA". It matches the Rfam family "Bacterial small subunit ribosomal RNA", at positions 29 to 523 of the family's 1533-position model. The record is from RNAcentral.
AUUGAACGCUGGCGGCAUGCCUUACACAUGCAAGUCGAACGGUGACAGGUUAAGCUGACGAGUGGCGAACGGGUGAGUAAUACAUCGGAACGUGCCCAGUAGUGGGGGAUAGCCCGGCGAAAGCCGGAUUAAUGCCGCAUACGACCUAAGGGUGAAAGGGGGGGAUCGCAAGACCUCUCGCUAUUGGAGCGGCCGAUGUCAGAUUAGGUAGUUGGUGGGGUAAAGGCCCACCAAGCCGACGAUCUGUAGCUGGUCUGAGAGGACGACCAGCCACACUGGGACUGGGACACGGCCCAGACUCCUACGGGAGGCAGCAGUGGGGAAUUUUGGACAAUGGGCGCAAGCCUGAUCCAGCCAUGCCGCGUGCGGGAAGAAGGCCUUCGGGUUGUAAACCGCUUUUGUCAGGGAAGAAAUCCUUUGGGUUAAUACCUCGGGGGGAUGACGGUACCUGAAGAAUAAGCACCGGCUAACUACGUGCCAGCAGCCGCCGUAA